ACGGCGCUGUCGAUAGUGUGCCUGACGCAGAUCUGGCAGCUAUGGAAGUUCAUCCGCUUCCAGCUGCGGCGACGAAGGCAGGAGCAGGCGGCACGCAAGCGGCCCGCAGGCCAGCAGCCGCCUCGGGUGGCCAGGAAGGACGCCGGUGGGCAGUACAAUAAUGGUGCGGUCAAGGCAGAGAACGGAGCCUCUCCACGACCCAAGAAGAUCAAGGUCCUCUAACCGAGCACCUGGGCUCCACCACUGCCUACAGAACCGCCAACAGAACAGGAAAAUGGCUAAUGGUCAUCGUGCUCUUGCCCGGAGGGCUUGAGUGUGGUUGCUGAGACCCUGGGGACAGAGGUGUCCCGUUCAGGAACAGCACGUGGGAAUUCCUGAGCCCUGAAGGACAUUCUCACUCAUGUUGGUACUCCUUAAUUGCUGGCUGUCCUCUCAGCUUCCAGUCCAGUCUUGUUUACACCCUGAUCGUCCCUCUAGAAAAUACACUAUUUUUUGACAUGUCGUCUCUAAUUAGCACCAAACACUUUCACCUCAUUUUGCCUUGUCUCUAUCUUAGCCUAAAACUGGAAAAUCAGCCUUGGUUUUGGGUCAUAGGAUAAAGUUUUGGUCCCCAGCUUCUCUCUGGGGGGUGGGGGUGGCAGUUUGAGUAGCUGGGUGUGGAGGCCUCAGUCCUGCCAUCAAUCAGGGCAAAGAACCAUCUGAGGUCAUUUUAGGGUCACCUGGGUCAUUCCAGUCUCCUGCUGAGAGUCUCCAUCCGUCUCUGCAGCACUAGUCUGCUCUGUGUCUCUGACCCUAUAUUACUUUCAUCUGCAGGAAAGCUCAAUGUGAAGAUAACAUCACAUGCUUUUUGCUCUCUAAAGGGUGAUAAGUUUAAGGAUUGCACGUGCAUGAGGCCUGUCACCCAGAGUACAGACUGCUCUUUCUUUGAGUUUCACUGAAUGCAGACUGAACAGUUCCAGCAAACCCCGACAUUAGACUGUAGCCGUAUUUAACUGCUUGUAUGGAAGGACAAUUGCGAUUUUGAUGAGGUCAUAAUGGCUUUACUGUGGAAUAAAAGGGCACAAAAGCAAA
Molecule: non-coding RNA, 1071 nt
Organism: Paramormyrops kingsleyae
Lineage: Eukaryota; Metazoa; Chordata; Actinopteri; Osteoglossiformes; Mormyridae
Source: RefSeq, a predicted model, not a curated record